AAGUCUUUUACAGUUUUCUUCCUGUAUCAUAUCUUGUUUACUAUAUUUUUUAUACGGAUAAGCAUUAUAAGCUAAUUGCUUAGUAUAGACUCUUUAGCUUUCAUGUAUGGUAGUAUCUUUUCUACCAAAGGAGAGAGAUCAAAUUAACCCUUUCCCCUCCAGUAGGAGGUUGAGGGUUCAAGUCUAAGUGGAGAAAAAGUGUGUGAAUAUUAUAAGGGUCUUCUGUAAAACCCCACUUGCCAUUAAAAAAAACUUACUGGUGUGCAAACGAGAAUGUAUAAGUCUGCAAAAUGAGAGUUUAGCUGAAAUGUAUGCGUUUUCAAGCUGAGAGUUUAAGCUGGCCUACCCUUGUAGUGCGUAGUAUAUUGUGUUAAGAGAUUGGCUUUUUUCAGUCUAGUGAAGUGACAAGGAGCUUUAGUGAAGACUGAAGAACAUUUUUGUUUUGAAUAACUGGAAUACCUAAACAAUAAUGCAUCAUAUCUCUUCCCAAGUGUGUAACCUUUGCCUUUUGUUUUGACUUCUAUAUUAGUAUAUAUGAAUAUUUUUGGCAUGUAUUGUCUUGCUACUUCUUGCAAAUGCUAUAACUAUGCAUACCAUAACAGUCAAUGUAAUUAAUUGCAUUGGAUUCCUGCUGCUUAUGAAAAUAAUUUGAUGGUAUCUAUCUAUUUAUACACAAACAUAUAUACAUAUGGUUGGUUGAAAUGUACGGAAGCCAGUAGGGCAAGAAAAAUAAAGCAUGAAUUGAAGGCAAAAAAUAUGCAUGUAAUAAUACAUUGCAUGUAGAUUUAUUUUAAGUAACUGAGAAAGGAUGGUUCAUGAUUAAUACAGGAAAAGUUGUUCUAUUCCGGUAAAGGAAACUUAUGACUGUAUACGUUUUUGCAACUUUUGUUUGUAGGCCAUGCAAGUAGAUUUAAGAAAAGUAAGGCUCAUCAUCUCUUAUCAUUAUAUACAUUUUACAUACACGCACACACACUAAUUUUGCUGAUUCUACCCACUCACCCACCUCAAGAAAAAGCAGGGAGGGAAAUUGAAAAUCAAUUAAUAGAUUUGUUUGAUGCACUACUUUAUGAUAAGGUAAUGAAUAGAAGAGUAGAAAGGGCACUUGGAGUAUAGCUGUGUAACAGUGUAAGUAGCAAGAGGAGUUAGUAUUAUCACUUUUCUAGAAUAAAUGACACAACUUUAAAUUGGGCAGUUUCAAGGUAGAUUUGAAUGUAAAUAGUCGAUUCAAAUAGUUGCCUCGUAAAAUUUUAAUCUAAUAAAAAUAGAAAAGCAAGGGCAUAUUGUAGCUACUUUGUAAUUUUAAAUUAGAAAUGUGUAUGUUAUGUUAGAUGUAAAAACAACAAAAAGAAAAUGUGUUAAAAUGAUGAAUGAGAUUAGGAUCAGGGGUCAAAUUAUUGCAGAUUUGGUGGGAAGACAGGGAUAUUUGUCGGCAAGAGUUGGUUGCACUGUUUGUCAGCUUCGCAUACUGACUGCUCACCAGUUUUUCUAUGUAGUAGGAAUCUAAAAUGCAAUUCCACUACUUAUAGUUUUUAUUUUGUUGAAAGGAAAAAGCUUGUUUUAUGGUUAUAUUGUAGAAUUACAUUUUUCCUCUUUUUGUUGUAUCACCUGGAUACUUUCUGCACUAUUUGUUUUUCUUGGAUCUGUGAAAUAAGUGUUCAGGAGCUAGGUAAAUUAUAUUGGUUUUUUUACACAUAAAUUGUUGUUGAGGUGUCAUCUGGAUCGUAUGUAGUCACUAUUCACCCUUUUCACCUUACAGGCUACUAGACGGAAUUUCUUAUUGUUUAAGCUAGAAUUGCUGCCCUGAGCACCAAAAGCUAUCAAAAAUUUUGUGCUCAUCUACUCCAGCCUUAUACAGAAAAUAUGUCAGGAAAACGAAAACAGAUGUUACUUUUAGGAAGUUCACACGCAAUGGGGAAGUUCUUUAUGCUGCAGAAAAAUUGGUUCUUCAGGUUCUCUCUUUAUGUGUGGUGGGUCCAUCAAUAUAUAACAAGUUGCUGCUAAUGCUCAUACUUCCGCAAGGGUGAUGCACUUGGUAUAGGUGGACAGUCGCUCCUCUUUUUUCUUCUCUUUUUCGCUAAUUAACACUUGACACUCAUCUUUGACGAGUUUUUUUUCCCGUUCAAGUACUGAUAAAUAAUUUUUCAAUCCUUACCGAUGUACAUGAUAUAUGUAUUUAGAAAUCAACCUCGAUAUGUAGAAGACGCUUUAUCUAGAGCGUAAAGCUCGACACAAGUUAGCGGGUAAGACGUGUUUGUUCAAAUGCUCAUGAUACUUAUCUAUGUUACUCGGACUCUUCAUUUUGCCUCGAAAUACUUGUGUCGGACACUCGACACUCGGAUAUGAAUACUCAGACUUGGACAUUUAUUUGAGGUAAAAAAACAUACUAUUUUUCAUAAUAUUACCGAGUCCGACACAUAGACAUGUAUCCAUAUCGGACACUUUUAAUCGAGUCCGAGUAACAUAGUAUUUAAUUGUGUGGACUGUGGAAUGAGCUGAAACAACCUGCGGGGCCCAUGGUUGCUUUCACGUUUUAAGGCAGUUAAACGAUCCGCGAACCAACUUCAUGCAGGGACAAUAUAAGGCCAAGAAGAUGAGGAGAAAAAGCGAGAAAAAGGAAAAGAGGAAUAAUACAAUUCAAGAGUUUCAUCUCCACAAUCAUCUCUGCAGGGCCAGGUGAGGCCGACUCACUAGUCAAAUUAGUGGACUUUAUCUUAAUUAUUGGUAUACUUUGUAGGUAUUAUUAUUGUCAUUGUAGUACGAUUUUGCCCCACCACAAAAUGAAUAAUUAUACUUGUCGAAAACUAAAGGAAAUUAUACUACCUACACCUCUACAUCCCAUCAUUCUACUGCUGUUGAUCGCUACUCUGUAUCGACUCGGACUGUUUCUACGGACAUGAAGAUAAAUCUGACGAACCGAAAUAAAUCACGAGUAUAAUAGGUUUUGCUCUACUCGGAGGCGGCGUAUGUCACGAUUUCCAUGAAUAAUGUUGAAAAUAACAGAGUUGGGAGAAAUGACUCAAACCAACAUUUAUUAAUGUCGGAUAAUUCUACGUUUUGAUUUUUGGAAAUACACGCCAGAUCAUUUUGCGUUUAGGUCUGAAAAUCACUAUAAAACAAUCUGACAUUUUCAAACGCUAGAUUAUGUAGCCUUGUUAAAUAGAAUAAACGCUAAAGGAAAAUAGAAUAAACGCGGCACGAUUAAACAUUAUUUUGGAUUCUAAAGUGGUAGGUUGGGGCCAUCUUCUGUAACAAACUAACAAUAGUAUUUGGAAUAUUUUUCUUGAAACAGUGAGCAUCAACACCCCGUAAUUGAAGAGAGGUUGUUUUCGCGAGAUCUUGCUUAUAAAUUUUGUACUGACAAAUUUUCGUAAUCAUCAUGAACUCUAAAUCAUCAACGAAUUAAAUCAUUGCCAUCAACCCUUGCUUUUGUUUCACCUAAUGAACAUAGCAUAAUACUUUAUAAAAGAUUUGUUAUUAUGCACUUCCAUACGUUUCCAGAGCUUGAUUGCUUCAUUGUGAUCCUGCACUUAUUACUUGCAU
Long non-coding RNA from Daucus carota subsp. sativus, 3540 nucleotides. RefSeq lists it as uncharacterized. The record is from RefSeq and is a predicted model, not a curated record. The transcript has 3 exons. Lineage: Eukaryota; Viridiplantae; Streptophyta; Magnoliopsida; Apiales; Apiaceae.